This 855-nucleotide ribosomal RNA is filed under the name uncultured Actinomycetes bacterium. RNAcentral's name for it is "bacterial SSU rRNA". It matches the Rfam family "Bacterial small subunit ribosomal RNA", at positions 28 to 896 of the family's 1533-position model. Lineage: Bacteria; Bacillati; Actinomycetota; Actinomycetes. The record is from RNAcentral.
GAUGAACGCUGGCGGCGUGCUUAACACAUGCAAGUCGAACGAUGAUGCCCACUUGUGGGUGGAUUAGUGGCGAACGGGUGAGUAACACGUGAGUAACCUGCCCUUGACUCUGGGAUAAGCCUGGGAAACUGGGUCUAAUACCGGAUAUGACCUUCCAUCGCAUGGUGGUUGGUGGAAAGCUUUUGUGGUUUUGGAUGGACUCGCGGCCUAUCAGCUUGUUGGUGGGGUAAUGGCCUACCAAGGCGACGACGGGUAGCCGGCCUGAGAGGGUGACCGGCCACACUGGGACUGAGACACGGCCCAGACUCCUACGGGAGGCAGCAGUGGGGAAUAUUGCACAAUGGGCGCAAGCCUGAUGCAGCGACGCCGCGUGAGGGAUGACGGCCUUCGGGUUGUAAACCUCUUUCAGUAGGGAAGAAGCGUAAGUGACGGUACCUGCAGAAGAAGCGCCGGCUAACUACGUGCCAGCAGCCGCGGUAAUACGUAGGGCGCAAGCGUUAUCCGGAAUUAUUGGGCGUAAAGAGCUCGUAGGCGGUUUGUCGCGUCUGCUGUGAAAUCCCGAGGCUCAACCUCGGGCCUGCAGUGGGUACGGGCAGACUAGAGUGCGGUAGGGGAGAUUGGAAUUCCUGGUGUAGCGGUGGAAUGCGCAGAUAUCAGGAGGAACACCGAUGGCGAAGGCAGAUCUCUGGGCCGUAACUGACGCUGAGGAGCGAAAGGGUGGGGAGCAAACAGGCUUAGAUACCCUGGUAGUCCACCCCGUAAACGUUGGGAACUAGUUGUGGGGUCCAUUCCACGGAUUCCGUGACGCAGCUAACGCAUUAAGUUCCCCGCCUGGGGAGUACGGCCGCAAGGCUA